RNAcentral lists this transfer RNA (70 nucleotides) under Dermasterias imbricata. RNAcentral's name for it is "tRNA-Pro". It matches the Rfam family "tRNA". From Rfam's summary of the family: Transfer RNA (tRNA) molecules are approximately 80 nucleotides in length. Their secondary structure includes four short double-helical elements and three loops (D, anti-codon, and T loops). The record is from RNAcentral. Lineage: Eukaryota; Metazoa; Echinodermata; Asteroidea; Valvatida; Poraniidae.
CAGGAGGUAGUUUAGUUAGAAUAAUAGCUUUGGGAGUUGUUGGUGUAAGUGUGGAGUCUUACUUUCCUGA